CUUACAUAUCAAUAUGUUGAGUGAGCGCUGCACCAAAAAGCACAUAUAAUUAGUACAAUACUAGAAGCUUUGGCUAAAAAGAAGGUUAACCUCUACUAUCGACCAGCUCUGCUGCACCAGAGAAUUACAAACAUGGACAUGAUGAAAUAAGGAACCAUAUAGGCGUAUUACAAGCAUGAGUGUGAAGCAAACAUAUCUUAGUUGUGGGCUCUAACCACUGAAAGGAACAUGAUAAGAGUAUCUGAAAGAGAUUAAAUACUUGAAGCAUCUAUUUUUUGAAUCUUGACAUUUUAAUUCUCAGCACAACCUCCAAACCUGUUGUUGCAACAUAAGAUUUGUCUAUGAUCUUAGCUGUAACAAUUCUCUAUUCUGACACAAAAUCUGCAGCAAAACAGCAACAAUUAGUUGUGAGUAAGAUGAGAGAGACAUGUGAUCUGCCAAGGGCAUAUGGGGUGAGAGAAGUACUAACGGAGUGGUAGGGAGAUGAACUUCAGGCAGAUGGUUUCUAGGAGAUCUGCCGUAGGUGUGGAUUCCUGAAGAAAAACAAAUGGUCCAUAACAAUUCAUGUGCAGCUGUGCAGUGAUUCAGUACUAGGAGAUUAACUACCUAUAGAUGAAUCCACCAUGAAGCUAGGAUUUGGUAGAGGAGAGAUGGGGCAGCAAGGUAGAUGGAAGCAGGAAGGACAUUAGUGGAAAAUAUAUCAAGUUAGUGGAACCAUAGUGUUACACCAUGUUGUUCUACAAUAUAAACAGCAACGAACUAUCCAAAGGUUGAGUAAAAAUGGUCCAAUGUUCAAUAUAAAAAUCCAAAGAAGCUAUUGCACCGAAAGUAAAAUUUUUAAGAUAGAAUACUAAGCAUAAACUGCAGGGUUAAGGUAGCAUUAUUUUUGGACACUACAUCUUAUGGAUACUGCAAAUUACUUCCAAAAAGUAUCUCUGAUCUAGAUUGAUACGCAGAGAAAGAGAAAAAUAUACCAACCACCUACAUAAGCUGGGACAGAACAAACUCGUCCAUAUCAUGAAGUCUAGUAACUGCAAUCAUCCAAAGCAAAGUAAGAAACAGAAGUACCAUAAACACAUGUAAGAUGGUUAUCAGCCACUUGUCUAGCAAUGCAAGCUUACUAUCAGGGGCGCCAUCACAGACAAUCAAGUCCGCUUUACAUCCAUCAAAAUGCUUGAUACCGACGCCAAAGCUGCAUCGUUUUCCUUCCGAAGCAGAUCAUGGUCCGAGACAUCAUCCGCAACCACAAAGUCUCCAUGAGCUUUGGAAACGUUGGCUAGUUCAUGAUCCAGCCCAUUGUUUGUCCUUCCGAUAGCCCUCAUGUGAUAUUUACUCAACGCAGAUUUAAUAUCAACAAUAAUUGGGUAGGACAAUGUUCUGCUUACGAAUCAGCCCCUAGCUCCUUGCCCCACUGCAUAGUCGAUCUCCACCACAAGGGAGCCUCAGAAUACGUUAUUCAGUCAAACCAGAAUGGCGCUGGCUUCAGCCUCCUCGACAAUUAUGCAUGUGCCCAGCUGCCUAUCGGCAAGCAAUUUUUGCAUUAUCUCUGGUAAGCAACAAAAAGGAAUCCAUAUGCAAUCUGAAUCUUCACUGAACUUUUUAGGUUUGGCCAUAUAGGAGCUCGAUCACGCAAAAUUCGACAGCUCAAACUUUUACCCUUACCUGUCCACAUCAUCCAUGGCAUAUCCUUCACAUACUUGGCUUCACAUGGAGACGGUUCACCACCUUCAUCUCACACAACGUGUCACACAACAUAUCCAUGAACCAAUCUAGUUAAUGUUCGACGACUGAGAAAAAAUUCAAAGUAAAUUGAUGGAUGCAUGAAUAAAUGGAUUGAUGCAUUGCAACGGGAGAAAAAAAUUCACACACACACCACCAAGCUCUAGGACCUUUGCCUCCGACAUGGCAAUCAAGCAUACUCGGCGCCCAUGGCAAUGGGUCCCACGAUGAUCUUGCCCCCCUGCGGCCCAACCGGCGACAUCGUCGGCAAGUCAAGGCAGCGGUGGAGCAGGCGCGACACAUCUGCCAUGAGCUGCUUGGUCGCCUUUCCUGAAAUUCAACACAACAACAAAGGGAACUUGGCUAGAGAUUGCAAUUGAACACUUAGCUGCAGCAGAGAUGACUAAAACUUUCAAGAAUACAAAUUUGCAUGUGCAUUAUAGUGGGAAAUACAACGCAUAUAAUGGCGAAAAUGGGCAAGGAAAAAGAAUAGGAAAUGAUUAAAUUUGUUUUUAUUCCUAACAACAUCCUUUUGCCCUGCAUCACGUAUUGUAAUGAUGUCACAAGCAUGCUCUUGACGACAAUGAUUCACAUGUGCUGGAGACCUGCAGAGGAUGGGGAAAAGAAGGGCAAAAUAGGAAGGCUUGUAUCUAUCAAGCAUAAAUAUUUACUGAAUAAAAUUGAGCUAAUCUAUACCAACUUGGGCAGGAUUGUCGAAUAGCUUCCUCUUAUAUAACAUAUACAUCAGAAAAUCCAGUACACAAAAUAUAUACAUAUGUUUAGCAAUGACACAGAAAUCAGAUUGUUUCAAAGAUAGUGAGGAUCGACAGAGGGUCUUGAAGAAUUCUGACAAUGUAAACCGUAAUAGGUUACAACCUCCAUCACACAUCUAAUUUUAUCAAAUUGACACGGAAAGUUAUAGGAAUUGUGGCAUAAAAAUUGGUUACAUCUAAAUCUUGGUAUAUUCCUGUUUGAGAUCGUUUAUAGAAUCAAUAAAAUGUAAUGACAUUAGGGAGAUCAAGGAUCAAAGAUCAAUUAAGAAAAUCAUGGAUGGGGGAAUCAUACUUACCUUGUUAAGAAUGACACCGAUGGAAUUAGUGAGGUGCCCGUCCGGAACAACCGGGACACAAUCGCAGUAGUUCUCCCAGCGCUACCUUAGUCGAUAUAGCGGAACGUAAGGUACCAAAGCAUGGGAGCCAGGCAAACCCAACUAUUGACCCAAGAUAUGAUUCGGAGCUGAUGCAUAUAAUGCUAUAAGUUCGGGGUGCCGCAUUGUCGAAAGUGUUCGGACUUCUCACACCGUAUUAUGGGGUAAACAAAAGCCCCUGGGGUAUUGACCGUACCAGAAUGCACGGGAGCAAGUUGUCCUAAAUGAACAUAUAAGAAAAAGGGAUAAAGAAUGCAAUAAUAGACUAAUGCUAUGCAUUGUUAUUUAAAUAAUACGUCAAAGCAUACUGAUACAAGUAGUGCAAUAAGCAGAAAAAUGGACUAUUUGACAUGUCCUAUCCAAGGGCAAGCUGCGUAUGGAUAGUAGAAAGCGGGUAUAUCGAUUAUUAUUAGAGACCACAUGGGGGUUCCCGUGUACAUCUUAGCUUCUUGCCUCCUUGGAUGUUCCUUCCCGUAAUGUGUCCGGCAAUCGUACUGCCGGAAAGGGCUUCCAGAAAGUUAGGUCCUGAAAGAGAAAAAAUGAUAAAGGUAUAUAGCCCCUAGGGCGUUUAAGCCGCAUUGUGGGACGUGCCCUGAUCGUGCCCCCGCCUAUGCCCAUCGUAUUUUCAGUGCGUAAUUAUGUACGCGCGACACAGAUUUCUUCGCUUGACCCGGACUGGGACGGGGGCCGAAUUGCUAGGCGAGCUCUGAACGUGCCAGGCGAUCCUGUUGUAGUUUACUCCGGACUCGCUUGAUGGUGUCUGGGGGUUGUAUUGCCAAAUUGGUGAUUUGCCUUAAAAGGCUGCUUUGUGCUUCUACUCUGAGGACCGCAGUGUGCUCUUCCAUGCGGAGCGAGCGUUCUGUGUUUCCAUUGACUGUUAUGACCCCCCUAGGUCCUAGCAUCUUUAGCUUGAGGUAUGUGUAAUGCGGUACCGCGUUGAAUUUUACAAAUGUGGUUCGCCCGAGCAGUGCGUGAUAGCCGCUGCGGAACGGGACGAUAUCAAAGAUUAACUCCUCGCUUCGGAAGUUGUCCGGAGAUCCGAAGACCACUUCUAGUGUGACUGAGCCUGUGCAAUGGGCCUCUACACCUGGGAUGACGCCCUUCAAGGUGGUUUUGGUGGGUUUGAUCCUCGAGGGAUCUAUACCCAUUUUGUGCACUCUAUCCUGAUAGAGCAGGUUCAGGCUGCUGCCGCCGUCCCUAAGGACUCGAGUGAGGUGGAAUCCGUCGAUGAUGGGGUCUAGGACCAGUGCGGUAGAUCCGCCAUGACGGUUACUAGUGGGGUGGUCCCUGCUAUCAAAGGUGAUUGGAUAAGCGGACCAUGGGUUGAACUUUGGGGCGACGGGCUCCAUCGCAUAGAUGUCCCUUAGUGCACGCUUCCGUUCCCUCUUGGGAAUGUGUGUUGCGUAUAUCAUGAUCACCAUCUUCACUUGUGGGGGAACCUCUUCUGUCCUCCCGUGUUCGGCGGCCGGGGCUCCUCCUCGUCAUCGCUAUGCAGCCCCUUGUCCUUGUUUUCAGCAUUUAACUUGCCGGCCUGCUUGAACACCCAGCAUUCUCUGUUGGUGUGAUUGGCUGGCUUAUCGGGGGUGCCGUGGAUUUGACAUGAGCGAUCCAGUAUGCGAUCCAAACUCGAUGGGCCUGGAGUACUUCUUUUGAAUGGCUUUUUCUACUAACCGGAUCUAGAGCCUCUAAAUCCGGCAUUGACUGCCAUAUCAUCGGUGUUAUCGCCGUUGUUGUGGCGCUUUUGUCUGUUACGACGUGGUUUGCCGUUGGCAUCUUUGGUAUCUGGAGUACCCGGAUUCCUUGAUGUGUUGUUGCUGCAAGCCAGCCAGCUAUCCUCUCCCACGCAAAAGCGGGUCAUGCGUGUCGUGAGGGCUGGCAUAGACUUCGGCUUCUCCUGGCCGAGGUGCUGGGCGAGCCACUCCUCUAGCAUGUUAUGCUUGAAUGCCGCUAAGGCUUCUUCAUCUGGACAGUCGACAAUUUGGUUUUUAUUAGUUAGGAACCGUGUCCAGAAUUGCCUAGCCGAUUCCCCUGGCUGUUGAGUUGUAUGGCACAAGUCAUCAGCGUCCGGUGGUCGCACAUAAGUGCCCUGGAAGUUGUCAAGGAAUGCGUCUUCCAAAUCCUCCCAACUGCCGUUGAAGUCUGCUGGCAAGCUAUUCAGCCAAUGCUUAGCGGGUCCUUUGAUUUUCAGUGGGAGGUACUUGAUGGCAUGUAGAUCAUCACCGCGAGCCAUGUGGAUGUGAAGGAGGAAAUCCUCAAUCCAUAUAGCAGGAUCUGUUGUACCAUCAUACGAUUCAAUGUUUACGGGUUUAAAACCCUCAGGGAAUUCGUGAUCCAUAACUUCAUCAGUGAAGCAUAGGGGGUGUGCGGCGCCUCUGUAACGGGCUAUAUCCCGACGCAGUUCAUAUGAGUCUUGUCUGCUAUAUUCGGCCUGGCCGGAUUUACUUUUAGUUUAUCCGGCGCGACGGUCAUCGUCCCGCAUUGGCGCGCGCCCCCUGCUAUCCAAUACAUCUCGCAGGUCUCGUGUGUUGCCCCGGGCCUUGGUAUUUUUGAUUGAGUGGCGGCGGGGGCAGGCUGAACUUCAGGCUGAAACGCCUCUCUGGCUCGGCCACGCGGUGGCCGAUCAGCCGCAUCGUACAAUGGUGAUGGAGGUUUCAAUGCCUCCUCCUUGAGGUGAGGCAGCAACCUGCGUUUUGGGUAAUUCUUGGAGGGGCGCUCGAGUUCGUAUUCCUCGGCCGCAAGGACUUCGGUCCAUCUAUCUGCUAGCAAGUCUUGAUUAGCUUGAAGCUAUUAUUGCUUUUUCUUUAGGCUAUUUGGUGUGUCCAUAAGCCGGCCCUUGAAGAGCUCCUGCUCGACAGGAUCCUCAGUUACGAUAAAUUCUUCGUUGCCGAGGCUCAGCUCAUCUUCGGAGAGAGGCAUGUAAUUGUCCUCCUCUGAUUUUUCACCUGCUGCCUGCUCUGGAGGGCUAGCUUGUUCACCCUCCCACUCUACAUCGUGCUGGAGGGGAUUGUGGUUGUCUUCGGCACUAUCCGGAGUGUUACUGUCUCUUGUGCCGGUAUCACUACUUUUGCUGUGGCGGGAAUAAGAGCGGCGCUGCUGACGUUGGCGCUUGGAUUGCUUCUUGGAGGGGUCAUCCUCUGCUGUCUCGUCGUCAUUGCCUUAUUUGGGGUUAUCCACCAUGUAUAUAUCAUAUGAUGAGGUGGCGGUCCAGCGCCCUGUGGGCAGUGGUUCUUGUUCGUCUCCUGCAUCAUCGUCCAUAUCGUCGAUGUCUUCGGAGUCGAAGUCGAGCAUGUCGGUUAAAUCGUCGACAGUGGCUACUAAGUGGGUGGUGGGUGGGCAGCGAAUUUCUUCGUCGUCCCCGUCCCAUUCUAGCCGGACAUAGUUCGACCAAGAUUCUCCUGACAAGGAGAGAGACCUUAAUGAAUUUAGCACAUCGCCGAAAGGCGAGUGCUGAAAGAUAUCCGCGGAGGUGAACUCCCUGAUCGGUGCCUAGUCGGAUUCGAUAAGAACGGAUGCAGGUGGCUCGGAGUCCGUGGCCGGAGAUGAAUCCAGUGGUUUGGCGACACGGCUCUCGUAAGGGGUGAAAUCAUUAUCCGGCUCCAUCGCCAUUGGGAGUGCCGCCUCCGUGGCGGGGUCUAUCCCUCCGUCCUCGGAUGGCGCAUUUUUUCUCCGGAUUGAAGGCCGGAGUGGCUGCAGAUGCGACCUCCCGAGCAUUGUCCAAUGGCAGAGUUACGUCAUGCUCGUCGUGAUCAUGCGGCGCACCUGACAUGGGCUCAAAUCCGUCGAAGAUCAAGUCUUCGCGGGUAUCGGCGGUGUAGUUUAAGUUUCCGAACCUAACCUUAUGGCCAAGUGAAUUGGCCCGCAGUGCGAAGCCGCCAAAUACGAAGAUCUGUCCGGGGAGGAAAACCUCACCCUGGACCACAUCGUUACUGAUGAUCGAAGGGGUCAUCGAGCCUUAUGGUGACGACACAGUGGAACUCUCAAUGAAAUCACCAAUGUCGGUGUCAAAACCGGCGGAUCUCGGGUAGGGGGUCCCGAACUGUGCGUCUAAGGCGGAUGGUAUCAGGAGGCAAGGGACACGAUGUUUACCCAGGUUCGGGCCCUCUUGAUGGAGGUAAUACCCUACGUCCUGCUUGAUUGUUCUUGAUGAUAUGAGUAUUACAAGAGUUGAUCUACCACGAGAUCAUAGAGGCUAAACCCUAGAAGCUAGCCUAUGGUAUGAUUGUAUGUUGCCCUACGGACUAAACCCUCCAGGUUAUAUAAACACCGGAGGGGCCUAGGGUUACACAGAGACAUUUACAAGGGAGGAGAUCUACAUAUCCAUAUUGCAAACCUUGCCUUCCACGUCAAGGAAAGUCCCAUCCGGACAUGGGACGAAGUCUUCAAUCUUGUAUCUUCAUAGUUCAACAGUCCGGCCAAAGGAUAUAGCCCGGCUAUCCGGAGACCCCCUAAUCCAGGACUCCCUCAGGGGGCGCCACCCCCUCCUUGUCCAAUUCAGACUAGAGGGGGAGGGGACAUGCGGCUGCCCUGGCCGCCCCUCCUCUUCUCCCACUAAGGCCCAUGAGGCCCAAUUACUCCGGUUUAUAUCCAAAACCACUCGGAACACUUCUGGUGUCCGAAUAUAGUCAUCCAAUAUAUCGAUCUUUAUGUCUCGACCAUUUCGAGACUCCUCGUCAUGUCCGUGAUCAUAUCCGCGACUCCAAACUACCUUCAGUAAAAAAAACACAAAAACUCAUAAUAUCGAUCGUCACCAAACUUUAAGGGUGCGGACCUUACGGGUUCGAGAACUAUGUAGACAUGACCGAGAUAUGUCUCCGGUCAAUAACCAAUAGCGGAACGUGGAUGCUCAUAUUGGCUCCUACAUAUUGUACGAGGAUCUUUAUUGGUCAAACCGCAUAACAACAUACGUUGUUCCCUUUGUCAUCGGUAUGUUACUUGCCCGAGAUUCGAUCGUCGGUAUCUCAAUACCUAGUUCAAUAUCGUUAUUGGCAAGUCUCUUUACUCGUUCCGUAAUGCAUCAUCUCGUAACUAACUCAUUAGUCACAUUGCUUGCAAGGCUUAUAGUGAUGUGCAUUACCGGGAGGGCCCAGAGAUACCUCUCCGACAAUCGGAGUGACAAAUCCUAAUCUCGAAAUACGCCAACUCAACAAGUACCUUCGGAGACACCUAUAGAGCACCUUUAUAAUCACCCAGUUACGUUGUGAUGUUUGGUAGCACACAAAGUGUUCCUUCGGUAAAUGGGAGUUGCAUAAUCUCAUAGUCAUUAGAACAUGUAUAAGUCAUGAAGAAAGCAAUAGCAACAUACUAAACGAUCAAGUGCUAAGCUAACAGAAUGGUUCAAGUCAAUCACAACAUUUUCCUAAUGAUGUGAUCCCUUUAAUCAAAUGAUAACUCAUGUCUAUGCCCAGGAAACAUAACCAUCUUUGAUUAACGAGCUAGUUAAGUAGAGGCAUACUAGUGACACUCUGUUUGUCUAUGUAUUCACACAUGUAUUAUGUUUCCGGUUAAUACAAUUCUAGCAUGAAUUAUAAACAUUUAUCAAGGUAUAAGGAAAUAAAUAAUAACUUUAUUAUUGCCUCUAGGGCUUAUUGCCUUCAAAUUUCCAUAGCCAUUCCGAGAUAUAUUGCCAUGCAACUUUCCACCGUUUCGUUUGUUAUGACACGCUUCAUCAUUGUCAUAUUGCCAUGCAUGAUCAUGUAGUUGACAUCGUAUUUGUGGCAAAGCCAUGGUUCAUAAUUUUUUUCACACAUGUCACUCUUGGUUCAUUGCAUAUCCCGGUAUACAGCCGGAGGCAUUCACAUAGAGUCAUAUUUUGUUCUAAGUAUUGAGUUGUAAUUCUUGAGUUGUAAGUAAAAAGAAUGUGAUGAUCAUCAUUAUUAGAUCAUUGUCCUAGUGAGGAAAGGAUGAUGGAUACUAUGAUUCCCCCACAAGUCGGGAUGACACUCCGGACGGACAAUAAAAAAGGGAGAAAAGAGGCCAAAAGAAGAAGAAAGAAGGCCCAAAUAAAAAAAUAAGAGAAAAAGAGAGAAAGGACAAUGUUACUAUCCUUUUUCCACACUUGUGCUUGAAAGUAGCACCAUGCUCUUCAUGAUAGAGAGUCUCCUAUGUUGUCACUUUCAUAAACUAGUGGGAAUUUUACAUUAUAGAACUUGGCUUGUAUAUUCCAAUGAUGGGCUUCCUCAAAUUGCCCUAGGUCUUCGUGAGCAAGAAAGUUGGAUGCACACUGACUUAGUUUCUUUUGUUGAGCUUUCAUACACUUAUAGCUCUAGUGCAUACAUUGCAUGGCAAUCCCUACUCACUCACAUUGAUAUCUAUUGAUGGGCAUCUCCAUAGCCCGUUGAUACGGCUAGUUGAUGUGAGACUAUCUUCUCCUUUUUUUAUUCUCCACAACCAAAUUAUUUUUGGGACUAACCUAUUAACCGUAGGCCCAGCCCAAAUUGUUGUUGUUUUGCCUAUUUCAGUGUUCCGCAGAAAAAGAAUAUCAAACGGAGUCCAAACGGAAUGAAACCUUUGGGAGCGUGAUUUUUGGAACAAACGUGAUCCGGAGGAGUUGGAGUGGACGUCAAGCAACCAACAAGGAAGCCAUGAGGAAGGGGUGCGCCUACCCCCCUGGCCGCGCCCUCCACCCUCGUGGGCCCCUUGUCGCUCCACCCACCUACUUCUUCCUCCUAUAUGUACCUACGUACCCUGAAAACAUCAGAGAGCACCACAAAAACCUAAUUCCACUGCCACAACCUUCUGUACCCAUGAGAUCCCAUCUUGGGGCCUUUUCCGGCGCUCCGCCGGAGGGGGCAUUGAUGACGGAGGGCUUCUACAUCAACACCAUAGCCUCUCCGAUGACGUGUGAGUAGUUUACUUCAGACCUUCGGGUCCAUAGUUAUUAGCUAGAUGGCUUCUUCUCUCUCUUUGGUUCUCAAUACAAAGUUCUCCUCGAUGUUCUUGGAGAUCCGAUGAAUUGUGGGUUUAUGAUCAAGAUUAUCUAUGAGCAAUAUUUGAAUUUUCUCUGAAUUCUUUUAUGUAUGAUUGAUUAUCUUUGCAAGUCUCUUCGAAUUAUCAGUUUGGUUUGGCCUACUAGAUUGAUCUUUUGUGCAAUGGGAGAAGUGCUUAGCUUUGGGUUCAAUCUUGCGGUGCUUGAUCCCAGUGACAGUAGGGGAAACGACAUGUAUUGUAUUAUUGCCAUCGAGGAUAAAAAGAUGGGGUUUAUAUCAUAUUUCAUGAGUUUAACCCUCUACAUCAUGUCAUCUUGCUUAAAGAGUUACUCCAUUCUUAUGAACUUAAUACUCUAGAUGCAUGCUGGAAAGCAGUCGAUGUGUCACUACUAGGAAAUGGCCUACUAGUGGCGCACCUGUUUUGCCUACUAAUGGCGCACUACAGGUGCGCCACUAGUAUCACGCAAUUAGUAUUUUUUACUAAUGGCGCACCUGUGGUGCGCCGUUAGUAUCUGGUAUACUAAUGGCGCACAGUAUGCCUCCCAGGGGGCCAUAUUUACUCAUGUGCUUUGGCAUACUUAUGGCGCGCAGUGGAUGAUGCACCAUUAGAGUCCUUUUUGCAGUGCACCAUUAGUGUGCUGAGUGGUGCGUCACUAGUAUGAAUAUUAGGGAUUAUUUUUCUUCUUUUCUAAUAUUUGCACAGGUUACAAAACAUAUUUCUACACAUAAUAUAGAGAGCACAACAUAUAAACAGCAGAUUUAUCGAAUACAAUAGAAGAUUAGUCUCCGAAUACAAUUCAUCAUAUUAGCCUCUGAAUUUAAAAUACCGAACGAAGUUAGAACAUUACAAGUCUCGAAACCGCAAGUAGCGAGUUUGUCUUCACAUUACAAGUCGAUAUCGAUCAUCUAAACUGCCAUCACAUAGAAGAGAGUUGCGGUCAUCACGAUGAGCAUCAUCGUGAUGAAGCUGGUCUUCAUCCGGUUCCUCCUCCGCUCCCUCCUCUCUCCCACUAGAUAGCGCGUGUAUCUAGAUUCCGCCUCCGCCCUAGUGGUGUACCCUUUGUAACUGUUACCGCUGAAAUGGUGAACCUGUCUCCGACACUCCUCCCAGUCGUCGUAGACUCCGAGAACCUUAUGUAACACCCACGAUGCGGCUAUAUCUCCCACGUGUCGGAGCACGACUUAGAGGCAUAGCCGCAUGGUAGGCAUGUCGCAAGAGGGGUAAUCUUUACACAUCCCAUGUACUGAAUAAGAAAGGGAUAAGGAGUUGGCUUACAAUCGCCACUUCACACAAUACAUAAUCAUAGCAUUACAUCAUCCAGAAUACAAACACGGUCCGACUACACAACCAAAUAAAGAAAGACAACCCCUAAUGCAAAAGAUCCCCGAUUGCCCUGACUGGGCUCCACUACUGAUCAACUAGAAACGAAACAACACAACGAACACGAUCUUCAUUGAGCUCCACCUUGAGCUCGGUUGUAUCACCUGCACGGUUAUCAUUGGCACCUGCAACUGUUUGAAGUAAUCUGUGAGUCAAGGGGACUCAACAAUCUCACACCCUCGUGAUCAAGACUAUUUAAGCUUAUGGUAGGAAAGGGGUAGUGAGGAGGAGCUACAACACUAAGCAUAUACGGUGCCUAACUUACGCAAAUAAGAGCGAGAAGAGAAGCAAAGCACGGUUGUGGACUAGAAGUGAUCAAGAAGUGAUCCUGAAACUACUUACGUUCAAGCAUAACACGAGACCGUGUUCACUUCCCGGACUCCGCCGGAAAGAGACCAUCACGGCUACACACGUGGUUGAUGCAUUUUAAUUAAGUUAAGUGUCAAGUUCUCUACAACCACAUAUUAACAAAUUCCCAUCUGCCAUAACCGCGGGCACGGCUUUCGAAAGUUCAAAACCCUGCCGGGGUGUCCCAACUUAGCCCAUCACAAGCUCUCACGGUCAACGAAGGAUAUUCCUUCUCCCAGGAGGACCCGAUCAGACUCAGAAUCCCGGUUACAAGACAUUUCAACAAUGGUAAACAAGACCAGCAAAGCCGCCCGAUGCGCCGACUUCCUGAUAGGAGCUGCCCAUAUCUCGUUUUCAGGGCAACACCGGAUGAGGAAUCCAUACAACUAAAACCAGCCCUCAAGUUUCCCCGAGGUGGCGCUGCAAGGGGCUCUAGUUCGGACCAACACNNNNNNNNNNNNNNNNNNNNNNNNNNNNNNNNNNNNNNNNNNNNNNNNNNNNNNNNNNNNNNNNNNNNNNNNNNNNNNNNNNNNNNNNNNNNNNNNNNNNNNNNNNNNNNNNNNNNNNNNNNNNNNNNNNNNNNNNNNNNNNNNNNNNNNNNNNNNNNNNNNNNNNNNNNNNNNNNNNNNNNNNNNNNNNNNNNNNNNNNNNNNNNNNNNNNNNNNNNNNNNNNNNNNNNNNNNNNNNNNNNNNNNNNNNNNNNNNNNNNNNNNNNNNNNNNNNNNNNNNNNNNNNNNNNNNNNNNNNNNNNNNNNNNNNNNNNNNNNNNNNNNNNNNNNNNNNNNNNNNNNNNNNNNNNNNNNNNNNNNNNNNNNNNNNNNNNNNNNNGGUUGGCCGACCCAAGGGAAGGGUAAAAGGUUGUUAGGAAAAUGUAAAACCAAUGUUGGGCCUUGCUGGAGGAGUUUUAUUCAAGGCAAACUGUCAAGGGGUUCCCAUUAUAACCCAACCGCGUAAGGAACGCAAAAUCAAGGAACAUAACACCAGUAUGACGGAAACUAGGGCGGCAAGAGUGGAACAAAACACCAGGCAUAAGGCCGAGCCUUCCACCCUUUACCAAGUAUAUAGAUGCAUUAAUUAAAUAAGAGAUAUUGUGAUAUCCCAACAAUAAUCAUGUUCCAGCAUGGAACAAACUCCAAUCUUCACCUGCAACUAGCAACGCUAUAAGAGGGGCUGAGCAAAGCGGUAACAUAGCCAAACAAUGGUUUGCUAGGAAAGGUGGUUUAGAGGCUUGACAUGGCCAUAUGGGAGGCACGAUAUAGCAAGUGGUAGGUAUCGCGGCAUAGCAAUAGAGCGAGCAACUAGCAAGCAAAGAUAUAAGUGAUUUCGAGGGUAUGAUCAUCUUGCCUGAGAUCCCUCGAGGAAGAAGAACGAUUUCAUGAAGAAGACAAACGGACGUAGUUGAAUGGAUCCUCACAAACGCGACAUUAUUAGAACUAACCCAAAGAAGCAACACCAGAAAGAAGCAAGCAACAUAGUAAACAACCAUCACAUCAACAUGGCAUGAUGCACAACCAAGUAUGAUGCAUGUCCGGUUUAAUUAUGCAUAGCAUGGCAAAGUGCACAAGCAAAACUACAAGUUAAGUGGAUCUCAAUAUGCAACGAGUUGCAUAUUGACGAAACACCACAACAAUUAUUUAAUUCUCUCCUAUUUGUGUACCCAACAAUAUUAAAUGUUGAUUAACAUGGCAAGGGGUGAAGCACAACAAAAACUACCUAUCUAGGCAAGUUUAAAUGAGGCCGGAAACAACGAACAACAAUUCCGGUAAAACCCCAUAUGCAUAUUUUAAGGUUUGGUACUGUUCUGCCCUAAACAAAAUUUUAGGGUUGUUAAACAUGCAAAGUAAGGCCACCAUGUUAAACUAGGCAUUUUUUUACCCCAUUUACAUAUAAAGUGUGUUAGGUUUGGAGCUACGGUUGUUUAGUUAUGAAUAAAAUAAUUUUAGCAUGUUAUUUAAGAAAAUUAAAGCAAACAUCAUUUUAAACAUUUCAAACAUGCAUGAAAUAUGGAUAUUAUUAUUCUACACAAAAUUCUAAUCAACUUUCAUAUAUAAAACAUUUUAAUAUGAUGCACGGUUGAUGAGUUAUUAAUUGCAUGAACUCUAGGGACUUCUUUGUAAAACUGGCAAACUCUAGAUAAAAUGAUAAAAUCGAUGUACUGAAAAAAACACAAACAGGAUAGAUCUGUUGGACCAACAAUGCACAGGAGGGUUUCUCACCCAGUGGGCUUGGCCCAAAUCGGAAGAGAGAUAGGCCGAAAGGGGGGUGCUGCGCCUUGCCAGCAGCAGGCCGGUCUGGCGGGUGAAGAGGCCGGCUUGAGGGUUACAGUUGACACAAAAAAUGCUCGCCCUCUCCUCCAGGAGAUCGAGCAAGGCAGGGAAAACAGGAUGCGUUCCUCUACCUGACAAAAAGCAGAGCAGCGGCGGCCUAGGACUUCGAUGGAGGCCGCCGGGCGUGGAUCCGACGGGGUGGGGCCGAUCUGACUGGCAGUGAGGUCGAGAAAGCUCCAAGCAGCGGCGGUUCCCUGCUACUACAAGUCACAGAGAGAGAUAUUAGAAGGAGAGAGAGAAGAGGCUGGAGAGAAGAGAGGUAGGGUGCGGAGAUGGCCUGGUGGUGCUUGCUCCGGCGAGCUCUAUCGUAGAGGCGAGGCAGGGGCGGUCAAAGCAGGGGCAUCUCCUUGAUACCGCCGGCUGGAUGCAGAGCAGGCAUGGCUGUUGGGACUCCGGCAAGAGGCGCAGGGACUUGUCGGUCCGGCAGCGGCUGGAAUGGACGGAUCGGGCCUUAGGGCACCGGAUCCGGUGGGUGGUGGAGCUCCAUGGGCGGCGAUGCUGCGGCUUGGUGCAGGGAGGAGGUGGCGCUACCUGUGAAUGCCAUGAGAGAGAGAGAUCAUGAGAGAGAGAAGGAAGGUAGAGGAAGCUGCGGGGGAGACGGGAAGGAGCAAGGCGGCCUGAGGACUGGCUGCUCCGGCGAGCUCUGUCGCAGCGCGGUUGGCGGCCGAAGGGAGGCGUUCGACUCCUUGAGUCGACGAGGUGUACGAGGAGGCAGGUGCGAGGCCUCCUGUUCGUCUGCUGCGGUCGGGAGGACGAGGAGGCGGGCACGCAAGGCGGAGCUCGGCCGCGCUGGUUCAGGGAAAUGAGGAGGUUGGUUGGGUGGAUCAGGCAGGGAAGAUCCCGAGGGGGGAUUUGGUCAGGUGGCAGCAGCGAUGGGACAAACUCCUAGGUUUUAGGGUUUGAUCUAAUAUAUAUAUAUAUAUAUAUAUAUAUAUAUAUAUAUAUAUAUAUAUAUAUAUAUAUAUAUAACAAGUGGAUUUUUGGAUAGGGGCAUUUGGUCCCUCCGAUCUUAAACGUAUGGUCCCGGAUAAAUAGGUUAGGGAGCCCAAUUAAGAAAACGGAGACGUUUUGUAGAAGUUUGGGGAUGUUCCGGAUCCAACGGUGACGACUGCCCUGGUCGUGUCUGGGACAGCUUUCGGACGCGCGCGCGAGGAGGGCCGCGGGCAAACGAAAGAGGUUAGGUUGGGCCUGGCGAUAGGUAGUGAAAUGUGAAGACGGUCUAGGGAGGAAAGAGAGGGAAAGCUCAGCAACAGUUUCCGGAGAUCGAAAACGUCCGACGAUAGAGCGGCUAUACUGCCGCUAUAGUUAUCCGGUGGGGCGUCAAACGUACUCCAAAUGCGAUGAAACUUGGAAGGUGGCCUACCUACACUAUAAUAAGACCACAGGACAACUUUCAACCCAAUCCGAGAACAUUCCCCGGCCACUUAAAAAUUAGUAUCUCGGACGUGCCGCGGGCGUGUGCAAGUGUGGUUGAGCUCAGAACGGACAAGGGAGAGAACGAGGAGACCGGGACAGAUGCAAGUUUUGAAAACAUGAUGAUGCAAUGAACAUGAUGACAUGAUGAAAUGCAACACACAAACAAAUGACAAGGCAACAACAACGAAUAACUAGAAGACACCUGGCGCAUCAGUCUUGUGGCGUCACAACACUCCACCACUACGAGAGGAUCUCGUCCGGAGAUCUAGGAUGGCACCGGAGAGAAACGGAAGAGGAAGAGAAGAGGUAAAACAAAUUGCUUCUUUGACAAAUGCGUGAAACCACGAACCUUGAUAGGUUGAACAAAUUGCAAAGAAAGAAUACAACAAAGAUGAACAAAGUUGAAAACCUCCGUUUACAAGAGGAACAAGGAACAUCACGAGAACCCUGUAGGUUGAAAGACAUGAGAAAAGGGUUGCAAUGGACAAGAAGUACUUGAAAGCACUCCGGUAGAAACAAGAUGUACAAGGAACAAUAAGGAUCAUUUACGACAACAAUCCGGUUGAAAAAGGAAGGCAUAGAAUAUGAACUUGGCAAAAUUAUAGCACUUGGAUGAGACUCCAGUUAGAAGAAGAAUGAUAGAUGCAACACUCCGGUUAAACAAGAGAGAGAAGGAAUAAGGAUUAUAUAGAUUGGAUAGCACACCGACUGUAAAUGAAAGGAAUUGAAUAUGAACUAGACAAGAUGCGAGUAUGCUUGAUGAAAUCAACAAGGCACUGUCUCCGGAACUAUUGAAAGAAUUGUACAAGGGGUAAGAAGGAUUCCAGACAGCACUCGAUUGAGAAGGGAGGCAAAACUUGAUAAGAUGAGAAGAAAUUAAAUGGAGGACACGACACUCCGGUUGAAUGGAUAAGCAAAGGAAAGAACAUGAUCUUGGCAAAAUGAGAUGAUAGGACGAAGAGAGCAACAUCACCAUGCCUCCAAAACAAUUGAAUGGAAAACUAGAUGGUUGGAAAGAAAAGAACGGAGAAGAAGAAUGACAACUCUCGGAAAUAAAAUUGAAAGAGCAUGCUUACGGAGAAAAGGUUGAAAGGAGUUGUUGGAUUAUCAACAACGAAAUCAUAAGCUUGAUGUGGGCUAAUGGAAGACAUCUCGAAAUUAUGAGGUGAAAUUCUGCCACCAACGGAAAUAAAGAUUGGAUUGAUAUCAACAAGGAGUCGAGAAACUUAUUUCACCGAGAGGAUAAAUGAAGAACUUGGGUCAUUUCUAAGCACCAUAAUUAGCAACAAUCCUUAGGGAAAGCUUUAGGUGAAAUAUAACCCAAGAUAACACCAAAGAAGAGAUAGAUGGGUUGCAAAGGAUCUCAUGAAUGAAGAGAAGAUGAUGGGUUUAAAAUAUGUCAUUGUUGACAACCUAUGAAUCAUGAAACAUGAAGGGAAAUUAACAAGAAUGACAUAACACCGUCUCAAGAGAUAUGGUAGGAAGAAAUGCACUUCGGAAUGCAAGAUGAAGAAUGUUUGAACUCCUCAAAACAAGACAUGUGUUGAGCACCAUGUUUAAAUUUGAGUAAGCUUGGCGGAACUUAGCUUCGAGAGAAAAUCUUGAGGACAACUGAAGAAUGAAGAAAUCCUUGAGGAACCACCAUGUAGAGCCUCCAUGAAGAACUCCGUUAAUAAAAGGAAGAUAGAAAGAAAGAGAAGUUGAAAACACAAGGUGAAGCCUUGCAAUGAUUUAGGUGGAUCUCCGUGAUGAUGAGAGCUUGGAACUCAGGAAAAGAAAGAUGAACAAUUGAAACUGAGAAUUUUGAUGAUACUCCAGAAGUGAUGAUACUCCAGAUUUUGAUGAUACUCAGGAAAAGAGAAGUUGAAAACACAAGGUGAACAAUGAUUUAGAAGGGAAUUGAAUUUACUCGAUGAAACAAGAAUAAGAAUUACAUUAUGCUUAUCCUUCACCAAUUUAAAUUGAUGACAAGCAACGGAUUUGGCAUACUACUUAUUCUCAUUGGAAAGGAUUCAGGAGAGAUAUAGCAUAAACUUGAGAAGGUCUUCAACGAACCACCGGUAGGAUUGAAACAACAGAUGAAUUGAUAUUAUAACGAAGGAACAGAAAUCUUUAAUGAACCACCGUAAUAAUUGAAAAUCAACGUAGCAAAGGCACAAUUUACCAGUAAAAUUGGAAACAAAUGAAGAUACUUGAAGGAAUUUAGAUACAUGAAAACAAAUAGAUCACGAGCUCAUUAGAGAAUAUUUGAAUGAUGCACCGGUAAGAUUUGGAGAACAAUAGCUGAAAGCUGAGAAUGAAUAAUCCCGAAAUGAUGGCCUUCGGAGAAUCAAACUAAAAAGACUCUUGAAUUGCUCCGGAAGGGUGAAAAGCAUUCUCACAAUUGAAAACAAUUAUGAGAGGAUGGAUCAAGCUAGAACCCUGAAUCAUCAAGAGAACAUAUAUGAUUGCAGAGAAGCUCUUCCUCGAGUAGGUAAAUGAUAAAAACAGAAUUUUUGAUGCCGAGUGCUACUUGGCAUUAUUUUAAUGUAAUUCUUCUUAAUUGUGGUAUGAAUUAUUCAGAUCCGAAAGAUUCAAGAUAGAAGUUCAUAUUGACAUAAAAUAAUAAUACUUCAAGCAUACUAACUAAGCAAUUAUGUCUUCUCAAAAUAACAUGGCCAAAGAAAGUUCAUCCCUACAAAAUCAUAUAGUUUAGUCAUGCUCCAUUUUCAUCACACAAGAAUGCUCUCAUCAUGCACAACCCCGAUGACAAGCCAAGCAAUUGUUUCAUACCUUAGCAAUCUCAAACCUAUAAACUUUCACGCAAUAUAUGAGCGCGAGCCAUGGACAUAGCACUAUGGGUGGAAUAGAAUAUGAUGAUGGGGGUUAUGUGGAGAAGACAAAAAGGGAGAAAGUCUCACAUCAACGAGGCUAAUCAAUGUGCUAUGGAGAUGCCCACCGAUUGAUGUUAAUUCAAGGAGUAGGGAUUGCCAUGCAACGGAUGCACUAUGAAAAUGAUGAUCAUCACACUUCUAUUUAUUUACAACUCAAUGAUUACAACUUGAUGCUAGAACAAAAGAUGACUCUAUAUGAAUGCCUCCGGCGGUGUUGCGGUAUAUGCAAUGAACCAAGAGUGACAUGUAUGAAAGAAUUAUGAACGGUGGCUUUGCCACAAAUACUAUGUCAACUACAUGAUCAUGCUAAGCAAUAUGACAAUGAUGAAUGUAUCAUGAUAAACGGAAUGGUGGAAAGUUGCAUGGCAAUAUAUCUCGGAAUGGCUAUGGAAAUGCCAUAAUAGGUAGGUAUGGUGGCUGUUUUGAGGAAGAUAUAAGGAGGUUUAUGUGUGAAAGAGUGUAUCAUAUCAUGGGGUUUGGAUGCACCGGCGAAGUUUGCACCAACUCUCAAUGUGAGAAAGGGCAAUGCACGGUACCGAAGAGGCUAGCAAUGAUGGAAGGGUGAGGGUGCGUAUAAUCCAUGGACUCAACAUUAGUCAUAAAGAACUCACAUACUUAUUGCAAAAAUCUACAAGUCAUCAAAAACCUCGGCACUACGCGCAUCCUCCUAGGGGGGUAGAUUGGUAGGAAAAGACCAUCGCUCAUCCCCGAUCGCCACUCAUAAGGAAGACAAUCAAAAAACACCUCAUGUUUCAAAUUUCAAACUUCAACACAAGCACUUCUCAAAUUCAGAACUACUCAACUAGCACGACUUUGAUAUUAUUACCUCCAUAUCUCAAAACAAUCAUCAAGCAUCAAACGUCUCUUAGAAUUCAAAACACUCCGAGGAUUAUUAUACUAAUCUUGAAUACCUAGCAUAUUAGGAUUAUAAGAAAAUUACCAUGCUAUUUAAGACUCUCAAAUUAAUCUAAGUGAAGCAUGAGAGAUCAAUAGUUUCUAUAAAACAAAUCCACCACCGUGCUCUAAAAGAUAUAAGUGAAGUCCUAGAGCAAAACUAUAUAACUCAAAAGAUAUAAGCGAAGCACAUAGAGUAUUAUAACACAUUCCAAAUCAUGUAUCACUACUAGGAAAAGGGAUAUAGAUGAAAUUGACACUAAUGGCGCACCAGACAAGUGGUGCGCCACUACUAUAUACUAAUGGCGCACCAUGUGUUGGUGCGCCAUUAGUGUCCAAAUACUAAUGGUGUACCACAUCCAUGAUGCGCCACUAGUAAAAAAAUUGUUUUUUUUCAAAAAUACUAAUGGCGCAUCAGUGGAUAGUGCGCCAUUACUAGUUUUAACUAGUAAUGGCGCAUGAGUGGAUAGUGCACCAUUACUAGUUUUAACUAGUAAUGGCGCACCAGUAAGAGAUGCGCCAUUGCUAUCUAUACGUAUCGCGCACCCCUACCAGUGCGCCAUUUCUAUCACCCCUUAUCCCCUCCCUCUCAUCAUGUUCUCUCCCCUCACCUUCCUCCUGACACACCCACCCACCUCCCUCGACUUCGAUUUAGAUCGGGAAGCCCCUGCCGCCCGCCUCUUCCUCUCCCUCCUGACCAUGGCGAGCCCCCUUCCCCCUCCCUCACACCAGAUCCAGGGCAUGGAGCCGUGGUGAGAUCCUUCCCCAACCCUCCUCACCGGAUUCUGAGGAGAGCUGGUGACCACAUCCUCCAGCGACGGUGUUGCUCCGGGGUGUGGAGGCCGCUGAGCUGUAGGAGGAGGAGCUCCCCGCCACCCCAAGGCCCCAGAUCCAGCUGCCACGGCCAUAGCCAUGGUCGGGCUUCGGCAACUAGCAGAGGAAUGCCACAUUCUCCACCACGAAGCAUGCCUCCUUCCACCUCUCGCCGCUGCGCCCAACCUAAAAACGGCAGCAGCACGGGAUCCCCUCCAAAUCUGAGGAGCAUCUGACGCACGCGUGAGUGCCUUGUCUUCUUCCUCCUCCUCUGCUGCUGCUGCUUAUUCUUCUUCCCCUGAUCUGAUGCGUUCGUGCGUGCGUGUGGUUGUGUGGAGGCAAUGUAGUUGAAGGAAGGGGGCGGGCCAUGGAGAAGCUGCUCCGACACUGACCAUGUAGAUUGGUCUCACACGGCCAGGCCCACCAGAGGAGCCUCUCCAGCGAUGGGGAUCCGACAAGGAAGGAUUCCUUGCGCCUACAACUAUACAGCCAGGCCACAUGAACUGCAAGUAAAACUGCACGGUCAAACCUAAUAAUUUGAUUAAAACUGCAAUAGCAGCAGCAUAAAGCAAUCCCUUUUUAUCUUCAGUUUAUAUUGUAUGAGGUGUACUAAUGAACAAGUUUUUUUCACCCACUCAUUCUUGCUUCAGCUUCACCACUUUUUUUGGUGGUGCAUAAUCACAACCACCACCAGCAGACACUUGUUGGACCUACCCUCAAACUAGUUCCACAAAUAUGCCUCACUGUACCAACCUUGUACAGCAGUGCCAAAUUAGUUCAGCCAUUCCAAUUUCAGUAUCAUACUGAAGAUACUGAUUUCUAUAUGAUUUAGACAAUCGAAAUUCACAUUAGAUUGUGCCUGUCUCGCUGAAGCUGUCAGUCUGAAAAAUAGUUUACUGAAGUGCAGUUGAUCGGCUUCAGUUAGUACUUAGGACUUGAUAAUAACUUCAGCCAAUCUACUUCAUCAGUUAUGAAUGGUUUCAUUAGAUAAUAAUGAGUAAGUGAAGAAGUUGAAUGCAAAUAGUCGAUAUUUUCAUUGUGGCUGUUAGAUUAAUCAGCCUAUGUAGUAUGUACAGAUGCUUAUAAGGUGAUCCGAAGUUUAGUUGGUUGUCGAAGAAGAAUAAAUUCAUAAAUCAAAUGUGCAAAAUUAGUCCAGUCAUCUCAGUUUCAGGUUCAUAGAGAAGAUACUGAUUUCUAUAUAUGAUUUAGCCAAUUGAAAUUCACACUGCACUGUGCCUGUCUCACUGAAGUUGUUAGUUACUUGGUCUGAAAAACUGUGUACUGAAAUUGUUGGUCUGAAAACACUUUACUGAAACUACAGCGAAUCUUCUUCAGUUAGGACUUAGGAUUUGACAAUAAGUAAGCAUGCAAACUGAUGGCUUUAAUUUGAUGCUAACAUGCUUUCAUUCAGAUGAUUCGGUUCUUCAGUUUAAUAUAAUAUGCCACUAAUGGAAAACUUUGGAACUUAUAAAAAUCUAAAUAAAUUUAGUCUGCCUCAUAGAGAAGUUAAUUUCUACUGAAUUUUUUUAGCCUACUUUAAUAUUGUUUUUUAGUAUCUUUUUCUGCACCUUUUUCUUUCAGUUCUUAGUGCUGCUGCCCCAUGAACACAUUUUUUUAAUUUGACUGUACAUUCAAAUGAAUCCUUUGUUAAGUAUACACUCGAAAAUUCAGUUAACAGUAGCCUAACUAAAUUUUUUGUUUCUGAAUUUAUAAACUCACUUUAUAUUCAGUUUAUAAAUUAACAGUAGCUUCAAAAUUAAGUAUCCUUCGCAUGGAUCAACUGUUAUUUUAUUUUGUGGAGGAUAAAGUUCAGAUCAUGAAUAAUGGCAUUACAAGUGAACUUGGCACAAUUACACAUGUCCUGAAUCUCAUAGAAUCUGACACUAGCAAGUCUUCAUUGGCAUGCAAGUACUACUUUUACAUUGUCAUGAAAGGAACAAUUAAUUUGACAUGUAUCAUUGGUACUACUAAAACAUUUCGUUCAUGUUUCAACAAAUUUGGUGAAGACCACUUCAUAUGUAUUUUGCAUAUAUGAAUUAUCUCCUGUUGCUUUCUAAGAUGUUAGUUAUUUCAGUUCUAGCCCUCCUAUCUUUAAAUCCUGGCUGCUGGACUACCUGCAGGACAACGAGUUCAUCUGCGGCAGCUAUCGCUGUGAGCAGUCCGUCCACGACGCGCUCCGCAGCAUCUUCGGCGGGCACAACGAGAUCCUCAACGUCUGGAAGUAAGUCACCGGCCAUCUUUUUCCUGAUGAAUUUUCUUUCUAGCUCAAUGUGAUCAGAUCUGACUAGUACGUUCAGAUUUACUCUUGUUUUCUUUUCAAAUAGUACUAGUAGUCUAUAUUCCAGCUGUGCGACUAUCUGUAGCCACUUGAACCGAUGAGAAUUCUUCAAGCCUUCCUAUAGCCACUUGAACAAAUGUCCAUCUCAGAUCUGCUCAUCUAAAAAAUCCAAGUGGAGUAGUAUACUGGUAGUAUAGUAUAAUAAUAUUAUCAACAGGUAAAUGCCCUGAUUAUUUAGCUCUGUCAGAUAAAUACUCGUCGAAAGUGGGCUCCUAUCAAAAUUCAUUUCCAUUAUAAUCUUACUCAUACAAUAUUCACACCAUGUAAUUCUGGAAAUAUAUGCUCAUAUCUAGUUCUACAUAAAAAAUGACAGUAUUGACAUGUUAUAAAUAGUUUGUUUGUGUUUCUGUUUAUUUUGUUACAUUUUGCUGGGAUAAGGUGAAGAAAAAGAAGAAAAGAUUACUAGAAGAUUAGUUUUAGGAUUUUCUUUUAUUUCCUUGCAAUUUUCCUUUUAUUGGAAACUUGUAAAGACAUUGUAAUAUUCGAACUAUAAUAAAAAUUAUGAUUCUAUUUCAUUUUUUGUUUUUAAAUUAUUUUUCCUUAUAUGUUGUUUUCUGUAAAUUUAGAUUUUUUUUGUUUUCCAAAUACAUUACUAGUGGUGCAUUUACGCCCUUAUUAGUGGCGCACCUUCUUUUAUUACUAGUGGCGCACCUAUAAGGUUAUUAGUGGCGCACCUGGAGGGAAUACCAGUGGAGCACCGAAUGGUAUACCAAUGGCGCACCACAUGGUGCGCCAUUAGUAUAUAAUACUAGUGGCAUGGUACUAGUGGCGCACCAGUAGUGCGCCAUUAGUAGGCAAAACUGGUGCGCCACUAGUAGGCCUUUUCCUAGUAGUGUAUGGGGCUCUCAAAAUGUGUGUACAGCAAGGAUGAUUGUGGUAAACUAACAAAUAAAGACUCAAAUAAUACAAGACGCUCCAAGCAAAACACAUAUCAUGUGGUGAAUAAAAAUAUAGCUCCAUGUAAUGUUACCGAUAGAAUUAGACGAAAAGAGGGGAUUCCUUCCGGGGCAUCCCCAAGCUUUGGCUUUUAGGUGUCCUUAUAUUAUCUUGGGGUUCCAAGGGAAUCCCCAAGCUUAGGCUCUUGCCACUCCAUGUUCCAUAAUCCAUCAAAUCUUUACCCAAAACUUGAAAACUUCACAACACAAAACUUAAAGUAGAAAAUCUCGUGAGCUCCGUUAGCGAAAGAAAACAAAAGACCACUCCAAGGUACUGUAAUGAACUCAUUCUUUAUGUAUAUUGGUUUUAAACCUACUUUAUUCCAACUUCUCUAUGGUUUAUAAACUAUUUUACUAGCCAUAGAUUCAUCAAAAUAAGGAAACAACACAUGAGAAACAGAAUCUGUCAAAAACAGAACAGUCUGUAGUAAUCUGUAGCUAGCGCAAGAUCUGGAACUCCAAAAAUUCUAAAAUAAAUUUCUGAACGUGAGGAAUUUAUAUAUUAAUCAUCCGAAAAAAGAAUUAACUAAAUAGCACUUUCCAAAUAAAAAUGGCAGCAGUUCUCGUGAGCGCUAAAGUUUCUGUUUUUUACAACAAGAUUAACAAGAAUUUCCCCAAGUCUUCCCAACGGUUCUACUUGGCACAAACACUAAUUAAACACAAAAAACACAACCUAAACAAAAAGCUAAAUAAAUUAUUUAUUACUAAACAGGAGCAAACGGCAAGGAAUAAAAAUAAAAUUGGGUUGCCUCCCAACAAGAGCUAUCAUUUAACGCCCCUAGCUAGGCAUAAAAAGCAAGGAUAGAUCUAGGUAUUGCCAUCUUUGGUAGGCAAUCCAUAAGUGGCUCUCCUAAUAGAUUCAUAAGUUAAUUUAUUUUAUUUCUAGGAAAGCGUUCCAUGCCUUUCCUUAACGGAAAUUGGAAUCUAAUAUUUCCUUCCUUCAUAUCAAUAAUUGCACCAAUCGUUCUAAGGAAAGGUCUACCAAGAAUAAAGGACAUGAAGGAUUGCAAUCUAUGUCAAGAAAAAUAAAAUCUACGGGUACAUAAUUCCUAUUUUAAACAAUAAGAACAUCAUUAAUUCUUCCCACAGGUUUCUUAAUAGUAGAAUCUGCAAGGUGCAAGUUUAGAGAGCAAUCAUCAAAAUCACGGAAACCUAACAAAUCACACAAAGUUUUUGAAAUCGUGGAAACACUAGCACCCAAAUCAGACAAAGCAUAGAAUUCAUGAUCUUUAAUUUUAAUUUUAAUAGUUGGUUCCCACUCAUCAUAAAGUUUUCUAGGAACAGAGACUUCUAAUUCAAGUUUUUCUUGAUAAGAUUGCAUCAAGGCAUCAACGAUAUGUUUAGUGAAUGCUUUAUUUUGACUAUAAGCGUGAGGAGAAUUUAGCACAGAUUGCAACAAGGAAAUACAAUCAAUCAAAGAGAAAUUUUCAUAAUUAAAUUUCUUGAAAUCCAAAAUAGUGGGUUUAGCAACAUCAAAGGUUUUAAUUUCUUCAAUCCCACUUUCAUCAAUUUUAGCAUCAAGAUCUAAAAACUCCGAAUUCUUGGACCGUCUUCUAGGUAAAGGUGGAUCACAAUCAGUUCCAUCAUUAUUAAGAUUCAUAUUGCAAAAAAAAAAGAUUUAAUGGGGGACACAUCAAUAACUUUUAGAUCUUCAUCUUUAUUUUCAUAGGAACUAGAAGAACAAGCUCUUAUAAAGGCAUCUUUCUUAGCACGCAUCCUAGCGGUUCUUUCUUUGCACUCAUCACUGGAAAUUCUCAUGGCUGUGAGAGACUCAUUGAUAUCAUGCUUAGGUGGAAUAGAUCUAAGUUUCAAAGAAUCAACAUCAAGAGAAAUUCUAUCAAUGUUCCUAGCCAACUCAUCAAUCUUAAGCAAUCUUUCUUCAAUCAAAGCAUUGAAAUUCUUUUGCGAAGUAAUAAAUUCUUUAAUAUUAGAUUCAAAAUCAGAGGGCAUCUUAUUAUAAUUUCCAUAAGAAUUUUUGUAGGAAUUACCAUAAUUAUUAGAGGGAUUACUAGGAUAAGGCCUAGGAUUAAAAUUUCCUCUACACGCGUUAUUACGAAAAUUGUUCCUACCAACACAAUUCACAUCCAUAGAUUCAUUAUUAUUCUCAAUCAAAGUAGACAAGGCCAUAUCAUUAGGAUUAGAAGAAACAUAUUUAUUAGCAAAUAAUUUCAUAAGUUCAUCCAUCUUUCCACUCAAUACAUUAAUUUCUUCUAUCGCAUGCACCUUUUUAUUAGUAGAUCUUUCAAUAUGCCAUUGAGAAUAAUUAACCAUAAUAUUAUCUAGGAGUUUAGUAGCUUCUCCUAAAGUGAUUUCCAUAAAAGUGCCUCCCUCGGCCGAAUCUAAAAGAUUUCUAGAAGCAAAAUUCAAUCCGGCAUAAAAUUUUUGUAUAAUCAUCCACGGAUUCAAACCAUGAGUAGGGCAAUUAUGUAUCAUUAAUUUCAUCCUCUGCCAAUCUUGUGCAACAUGUUCAUGAUCAAUUUGCUUAAAAUUCGUAAUAUCGUUUCUAAGGGAGAUGAUCUUAGCGGGAGGAAAAUACUUAGAGAUAAAAGCAUCUUUGCACUUAUUCCAUGCAUCAAUACUAUUCUUAGGCAAAGACGAAAACCGAGCUUUAGCACGAUCUCUAAGCGAAAAAGGAAAUAGCUUCAAUUUAACAAUAUCAUUAUCCACAUCUUUCUUCUUUUGCAUAUCACACAAAUCAACGAAGCUAUUUAGAUGGGUAGCGGCAUCUUCACUAGGAAGGCCGGAAAACGGAUCUUUCAUGACAAGAUUCAGCAAAGCAGUAUUAAUUUCACAAGAUUCAACAUCGGUAAGAGGAGCAAUCGGAGUGCUAAUAAAAUAAUUGUUGUUGGUAUUGGUAAAGUCACACAAUUUAGUAUUAUCUUGAGCCAUCGUGACAACCAAGCAAACUAACACACAAGCAAACAAAAAGCAAGCGGGCAAAAAGAGGCAAAUAGAGAAAGAGAGGGAGGAUAGAGAGAGUGGGCGAACAAAACGUCAAGGGUGAAGUGGGGGAGAGGAAAACGAUAGGCAAAUGGAAAAUAAUGUAAUGUGGGAGAUAGGGAUUGUGAUGGGUACUUGGUAUAUUGACUUUUGCAUUGACUCCUCGGCAACGGCGCCAGAAAUCCUUCUUGCUACCUCUUGAACACUACAUUGGUUUUCCCCGAAGAGGAAGGGAUGAUGCAGCAAAGUAGCGUAAGUAUUUCCCUCAGUUUUUGAGAACCAAGGUAUCAAUCCAAUAGGAGGCUACGCACGAGACCCUCGUACCUACACAAAACAAAUAAAUCCUCGCAACCAACGCGAUAAGGGGUUGUCAGUCCCUACACAGCCACUUACGAGAGUGAGAUCUGAUAGAUAUGGUAAGAUAAUAUUUUUGGUAUUUUUAUGAUAAAGAUGCAAAGUAAAAUAAAAGCAAAGGAAAUAACUAAGUAUUGGAAGAUUAAUAUGAUGAAGAUAGACCUGGGGGCCAUAGGUUUCACUAGUGGCUUCUCCUAAGAGCAUAGGUAUUCUACGGUGGGUGAACGAAUUACUAUUGAGCAAUUGACAGAAUUGAGCAUAGUUAUGAGAAUAUCUAGGUAUGAUCACGUAUAUAGGCAUCACGUCCGAGACAAGUAGACCGACUCCUGCCUGCAUCUACUACUAUUACUCCACUCAUCGACCACUAUCCAGCAUGCAUCCAGAGUAUUAAGUUAAUGAAAACAGAGUAAUGCCUUAAGCAAGAUGACAUGAUGUAGAGGGAUAAACUCAUGCAAUAUGCUGAAAAUCCCAUCUUGUUAUCCUCGAUGGCAACAAUACAAUACAUGCUUUGCUGCCCAUACUGUCACUAGGAAAGGACACCACAAGAUUGAACCCAAAGCUAAGCACUUCUCCCAUUGCAAGAAAGAUCAAUCUAGUAGGCCAAACCAAACUGAUAAUUCGAAGAGACUUGCAAAGAUAACCAGUCAUACAUAAAAGAAUUUAGAGAAUAUUCAAAUCUUGUUCAUAGAUAGACUUGAUCAUAAACCCACAAUUCAUCGGUCUCAACCCCGUGAUAUGAUACGCUCUAUCACACAUAAGCCUCCUUAUAUCUUCCUCAAAAGAGCCACCAUACCUACAUAUUAUGGAAUUUCCAUAGACAUUCCGAGAUAUAUUGCCACAAAAUUUUCCAUCGUUCCAUUUAUUAUGACACGCAUCAUCAUUGUCAUAUUUCUUUGCAUGAUCAUUUAGUUGACAUCAUAUUUGUGGUAGGGCCACCAUGCUUAAUUUUCAUACAUGUCACUCUUAAUUCAUCGCAAUCCCGGUACACUACCGGAGGCAUUCACAUAGAGUCAUAUUGUGUUCUAAGUAUCGAGUUGUAAUUCUUGAGUUGUAAGUAAAUAAAAGUGUGUUGAUCAUCAUUAGAGCAUUGUCCCGUGUGAGGAAAGGAUGAUGGAUACUAUGAUUCCACCACAAGUCGGGAUGAGACUCCGGAUGAAAAAAAGAGGCCAUAAAAAAAAGAAGGCCGAAACAAAAAAAGAGAGAGAAAAAGAGAGAAGGGACAAUGUUACUAUCCUUUUUCCACACUUGUGCUUCAAAGUAGCACCAUGAUCUUCAUGAUAGAGAGUCUCUUAUUUUGUCACUUUCAUAUACUAGUGGGAAAUUUUCAUUAUAGAACUUGGCUUGUAUAUUCCAAUGAUGGGCUUGCUCAAAUGCCCUAGGUCUUCGUCAGCAAGAAAGUUGGAUGCACACCCACUUAGUUUCUUUGAUAAGCUUUCAUAUAUUUAUAGCUCUAGUGCAUCCGUUGCAUGGCAAUCCCUACUCCUUGCAUUGCCAUCAAUCGGUGGGCAUAUCCAUAGCCCAUUGAUUAGCCGCGUCAAUGUGAGACUUUCUCCCUUUUUGUAUUCUCACAUAACCUCAAUCAUCAUACUCUAUUCCACCCAUAGUGCUAUGUCCAUGGCUCGCGCUCAUAUAUUGCGUAAAAGUUGAAAGAGUUUGAAAAAGCUAAGUAUGAAACAAUUGCUUGGCUUGUCAUCGGGGUUGUGCAUGAGGGGAGCAUUUUGUGUGACAAAAAUGAAGCAUGACCAAACUAUAUGACUUUUUACAAAUAAGUUUUCUUUGGCUAUAGUAUUCUGAUAAGACAUAAUUGUUUGAUUAGCAUACUUGGAGUACUACUAUUUUUAUGUCAACAAUAAACUUUUAUCUUGAAUCUUUCGGAUCUGAACAUUAAUGCCACAAUAGAGAAAAAUACAUUGAAGAACAUGCUAGAAAGCAUUCCACAUCAAAAAUUCUGUUUUUAUCAUUUACCUACUCGAGGCGAGCAGGAAUUAAGCUUGGGGAUGCUGAUACGUCUCCAACGUAUCUAUAUUUUUUGAUUGUUCCAUGCUAUUAUAUUAUCUGUUUUGGAUGUUAAUGGGCUUUAUUUUACACUUUUAUAUUAUUUUUCGGACUAACCUAUUAACCCAAGGCCCAGUGCAAAUUGUUGUUUUUUUGCCUAUUUCAGUGUUUCGCAGAAAAGGAAUAUCAAAUGGAGUCCAAACGGAAUGAAACCUUCGGGAGCAUGAUUUUUGGAACAAACGUGAUCCAGAGGACUUGGAGUGGCGUCAAGCAACCAACGAGGAGUCCAUGAGGCAGGGGGCGCGCCUACCCCCUGGGCGUGCCCUCCCCCUUGUGGGCCCCUCAUGGCUCAACCGACCUACUUCUUCCUCCUAUAUAUGUUCACAUACCCCGAAAACAUCCAGGAGCACCAAGAAACUCUAUUUCCACCGCAGCAACCUUCUGUACCCAAGAGAUCCCAUCUUGGGGCCUUUUCUGGAGCUCCGCCGGAGGGGGCAUUGAUCACAGAGGGCCUCUACAUCAACUCCAUGGCCCCUCCGAUUAUGUGUGAGUAGUUUACUUCAGACCUUCGGGUCCAUAGCUAGUAGCUAGAUGGAUUCUUCUCUCUCUUUGGAUAUCAAUACAAAGUUCUCCUUGAUCUUCUUGGAGAUCUAUUCGAUGUAACUCUUUUUGCGGUGUGUUUGUCGAGAUCCAAUGAAUUGUGGGUUUAUGAUCAAGUCUAUCUAUGAAAAAUAUUUAAUUCUUCUCUGAAAUCUUUCAUGCAUGAUUGGUUAUCUUUGCAAGUCUCUUUGAAUUAUCAGUUUGGUUUGGCCUACUAGAUUGGUCUUUCUUGCCAUGGGAGAAGUUCUUAGCUUUGGGUUCAAUCUUGUGAUGCUCGAUCCCAGUGACAGAAAGGGAAACAACACGUAUUGUAUUGUUGCCAUCAAGGAUAAAAAGAUGGGGUUUAUAUCAUAUUGCUUGAGUUUAUCCCUCUACAUCAUGUCAUCUUAACUAAGGUGUUAUUUUGUUCUUAUGAACUAAGUAGUAGAUGCAGGCAGGAGUCGGUCUACUUGUCGCGGACGUGAUGCCUAUAUACAUGAUCAUGCCUAGAUAUUCUCUUAAUUAUUCACUUUUCUAUCAAUUGUUCGACAGUAAUUUGUUCACCCACCAUAAUACUUAUGCUAUCUUGAGAGAAGCCACUAGUGAAACCUAUGGCCCCCGGGUCUAUUCUCCAUCAUAUAAGUUUCCAAUCUAUUUUACUUUGCAAUCUUUACUUUUAAUCUAUAUCAUAAAAAUACCAAAAAUAUUUAUCUUAUCAUUAUUAUCUCUAUCAGAUCUCACUCUCGGAAGUGACCAUGAAGGGAUUGACAACCCCUUUAUCACGUUGGUUGCGAGGUUCUUAUUUGUUUGUGUAGGUACGAAGGAUUUGCUUGUGGCCUCCUACUGGAUUGAUACCUUGGUUCUCAAAAACUGAGGGAAAUACUUACACUACUUUGCUUCAUCACCCUUUCCUCUUCAAGGGAAAACCAGCGCAGUGCUCAAGAGGUAGCAAAGAGCUUCUGGGUAUGCCUGCUCACCGGCCUGUCGAGUUUGUUAUUGAUCUUGACCCCGGUACAGAACCUGUUUGCAAGCGCCCCAACAAGCUUGGGCCAGAAGAGCUGAAAGAAUUGAAGAAACAACUUGAUGAACAAGAACGUCUGGGUCUGAUCAGACCAAGUUCAUCUCCUUGGGGAUGUGGUGUUCUCUUUGUCCAAAAGAAGGAUGGCACGGUACGACUUUGCGUCGAUUACCGCCCAUUGAAAAAGAAGACAAUCAAGAAUAAGUUCCCGCUUACCAACAUCAAUGAAUUGUUCGAGCAACUCCAAGGUGCAAAAUUGUUUUCCAAGCUUGACCUCCAUAUGGGGUAUCACCAGAUUUGCAUUCGUGAAGAAGAUAUCAAAAAGACAACUUUCAGAUUGUGUAGGGGAUAUAACUACCAGGUAUGACCCGCCCAGGAGGGGUAGGGUCAACCUUAAUGGUGGGUUACUAAAACAAGCCCGACGAGUAUACAAGGCGACGGUUCAUUAUAAGACUUGUAGCAGGCCCAGGCCUAGAGGCAGCUUAAGGCCCACAAUUGUAAACCGCCAUGUAUGAGUAAGACUUGUAAAGUAAGGCAUGUAAAGAAGUCACCGAGCCGAACACGUUGUAUGAGCCGGCCGGGACUCUGUAGGCCGCCAGGUGUCGACCCGUGUAUAUAAGGGGAUGACCCGGUGGCGGCUUAGGGCAAGAAACAACAGAUCGAGAGCCAAGCUAGCGUAUUUCACUCCUUGGUCAUCAAAACCUAGCAAUACCACAACAACUGGACUAGGCUUUACCUUCACUGCAAGGGGCCGAACUAGUAUAAACCUCUCGUGUCCUUUGUCCCGAUUAACCCCUUUAAGCUUCCUAGUUGUGAUGGCUCCACGACUAGGUCCUUUCACUAGGACAUCUGCCGUGACAAUUCCACGAUAGUUGGUGCCCACCGUGGGGCCAGCACACGAUGGAUUUGAGUUCUUGAAGGGCAGCUUCGAAGGGCUCAAGGGAUACGCUAUGGGCCGGAUGACCAAGAGUCGUCGCGGUAAGCUCUACAUCAACGACGCGGGCUGGGCCCCCGAGGCCGGCUCAAUUGAGUAUGGGUACCGGGUCCCCUUCGGCGGAAUCCAUGUCUUCAUCGGCCGGAUCGGUGAGCCGGGCCCUGAGCCGGGCAUCUGCACCGACCUCAUCGAGACGGCUUAGCAUGCGAGACCCGCCCGGACUCAGCCGGCCGUAAGGCGUGCCUUCGUGGGUUGCAUCCAUGGAGGGGAGUUUUCUGAAAGAUCUGUGGAUGGCGGCGAGACGGAUGUCCACUUUGAUGGCGAGUCGUCCACAGGUGAGAUGGAUUCAUUGUAUCAACUAUAGGACGGUGGGUUUGGGGGCUAUUCCUAUGGCAGCAGUAUUCCAGACCCCUUUGAGCCGCCGAAUCGAGCCGGGGUCUUCAUGGCUGGCACUCAACCCAGUCAGAAUUCUAUGGCCGCAACAGCGGUAACCACCGGAUCGGCAGCAGUCGGGUUAGGAGACCCCGUGCGCCCGCCGGCUCAGGUGCUGAUGGCUCUCAUGGAUAGGAUGACGGCCUUGUUGACCGUCGUGGUUGAACCGGCAGACAAAGCUCAGCAUGAUGCAGAGGUGGCAUGGUUACGUGGGGAGGUAGCACAAGCCAAGGAGAAUUUAGCAGCGGAGGACGUAAGGAUGGCUGCAGAACAGGCGACUCUGGAUGCUCGUUCUCAGCAGCUUCAAGCAGAGACUUUCCGGCUCUCGAUGGAUCUAAACGCAUCAAACGUGGUCAUGAGGAGAAGGCACCAAAAGGCUCAAUCACGUCUGCCUCUGACUUAUGAUCCUAGGAACCUCUUCCACACACGUGGGGCUGGUCCCAGUAACCCGCCGGAGGCAAACCGGAUCACAACACCCGGGACUGGGGUGCCGAUUCAACCGCGGGCCAUGGAACCCCCUCAUGUGAAUACUGCUUCGCCUCAUUACGCACCAAUACCACUGGGUCACUUUUCUAACCCUUUGGAGAAUCUGAUCGAUGUGUCGGCUCGUUUGGCGGCUAUCUCGAAGGAAGGCGACUCUCCAAUAGCGAUCGAAACACGAAGGGUCAAAGAACUUCUUCAGACGGCUCUGGCACAGCAGGAUGCAUACUCUUAUAGUCGAGACAGAAUCCAUUCAACCCCUCACCCAAGCCGGAGCCCGAGCUAUAGCAGGCAUAUGGACUCAGCGGCCGUGUCAAGCAAUGCCCAACGCCGUAACCAACCAUGCAGGCAUGACCCGGCGCGGGAUGGAGCUCUUAACUUGGUGGAGCAGGAGAUGAUCCAUCAAGAGGCUGAGCAGGCGGUUCAACAGGCAGCUGAGCUGGCAGCUCACCAGGCUUUUCCGGUUUAUCCAGCGAUCUCUGUUGAAGCAGAUGAGGCCACAAGGACAGCAGGUGUCCCUUGUCUGGUGCCGGCUCUGCGUAAUGAGCAUUUGCCAAAGGACUUUAAGGGGCCUCGUAAGGUACCUAAUUACACAGCCGACCUGCAGCCCAGGGCAUGGAUUUAAAGUUACGAGAUGGCCAUGGAGUUAUUGGAGGUCAGUGAUUCAGUAAUGGCCAAGUACUUCACUAUGAUGUUAGAUGAAACAGCUCGCACUUGGUUGAAGGGAUUGCCACCCAACUCCAUCGUCUCAUGGGCGGAGUUGAAAGCCCGGUUCAUUCAGAACUUCAAAAAUACAUGUAAGAAACCCAUGUCGAUCGUGGACUUGACUAACUGUAAGCAAGAGGAAGGUGAAUCCACGACCCAUUGGGUGCGCCGCGUCAAGGAAAUAAUACAUUCAUCUGAUAAGAUGGAUGCCGGCUCCGCGGUCUUAAUGUUGGAGAAAAAUUGCCAUUUUGAACCUCUGAAACAGAAGCUAGGGCGGCUCAAGCGUGAUUGUACUGACAUGGGCCAGUUGAUGGCGGCUCUGGUCAAUUAUGCCGAUUCUGACAGUACCAAGGAUCCUGCGUCUGACGAAGAGAAGACAGGGAAGGGAAAAAAGAACGGCAACGGCAAAGGUCACCAGCACAACCCGACGAAUCAAGGAGGUAAUAAACGUAAGGCUGAUGGUAGUCUGGAGUUUGUGGCUAACGGCAAUACACAGGGAAACAAUCAGCGGCGCAAGGGGAGGCCACCUCCUCGGUCAGGCGGGUAAGGUCCCACCCUCGAGCAACAGCUAAAUUAACCUUGUCCAAGGCACGGCACCCGGGAGAAGCCAGCUACCCAUCUCUGGAAAGACUAUACGAUCAUGAAGGCUUUUAAAAAUUCCAACAUGUUUGAUGGUAACCACGGACCUGGCGGUGACUCAGGCGGUGGCGGCAUUCAUGGCCCGGGCGCCGGCUCAGGCGGUGGCGGUUUUCACGGCCAGGGCCCUCAAGGCAGUCAGGGCAGCUAUAAUCAGCAAUCCUGCCAAGGUAAUCAGCAGCAACAACAGUUCGGGUAUCAGAGUAACCCAAAGCAGUUGAACAGUGGGUAGUAUCACGUAUUCACCACCAGUUUGUGCAAAAGGGACCAGAAACUUCAUAAGAGGGUUGUGAAUGCUGUUGAACCGGCGGUUCCACGUUAUUUGAGAUGGUCUGAGCAGCCUAUCGUAUGGAGUAGGGAACACCACCCUCCCCAGGUUGAUAAUCCGGGUCAUCUGGCUUUGGUGGUCGCGCCUCAGGUUGGUGGAUAUAAAUUCACUGAAGUGCUCAUGGACGAAGGCAUUAGCAUCAACAUCCUCUAUUAUGAGACUUUCCGUCGCAUGGGUUGACUAACAAAAGUCUUAAGACGUCCAAUACUAUUUUUCAUGGAGUUGUGCCUGGUAAUUCGGCAUACCCAGUUGGUAAGAUUGAGCUGGAAGUAGCCUUUGGGGAUGAGUAUGAUUCUAGGGCUGAGAAGUUAACUUUUGAAGUGGUUAAGAUCAAAAGCACGUAUCACGCUCUGUUUGGACGGUCGGCUUAUGCUAAGUUCAUGGCACAGCCAUGUUAUGUUUAUCUGCAACUCAAAAUGCUGGGUUAUAAGGGCACCAUCAUAGUGCAUGGAAGGUAGAAGAUAGCCCUGGAAUGUGAAGAAGGUGAUGCUGCUUAUGCUGUGUCUAUUUGUGCAACAGAGGAAUUGAAGUUUUAUAAGGAUAAUGUUGACCCAGCAGACAUGACGUCUUUGAAGAAGCCAACUACAAAGCAUGAGCCGGCGCUGAAAUUUAAGUCAGCUGAUGAUACCAAGAUGAUUGAUUUUGUGCCCGGCGACUCAUCCAAACACUUCAUUAUCAGUGCUAACUUGGAUCCAAAAUAGGAAGGCGCGCUCAUCAAGUUCAUCUGUGAGAACCGGGACAUCUUUACAAGGAAGCCUUCUGAAAUGCCGGGUGUACCGAGAGAACUCGCUGAGCACACUCUUAAUAUUGAUCUAAAGUUAAAGCCGGUCAGGCAGUUUCUUCGGUGGUUUAAUAAGGAAAGGUGCAAGGCUAUUGGAGAAGAGGUGGCCCGGCUCUUGGCGGCCGGGUUUAUUGUUGAAGUCUUUCACCCAGAGUGGUUGGCUAACACGGUGCUUGUGCUCAAAAAGAACGACACCUGGCGUAUGUGUGUGCAUUACACAGAUUUAAACAAGGCUUGUCCGGCUGAUCCUUUUUGUCUCCAUCAUAUUGAUCAAAUCAUUGGUGCUACGACGGGUUGUGAGCGUUUGAGUUUUUUGGAUGCUUAUUCUGGCUAUCAUCAGAUCAAAAUGGCAGUUAAGGACCAGGAGAAGACAACUUUCAUCACUCCGUUUCGAGCCUUCUGCUAUGUGUCUAUGCCUUUUGGGCUUAAAAGUGCCCAGGCGACUUAUCAGCGAUGUGUACAGAACUGUCUUCAUAACCAGAUUGGGCGUAAUGUUCAUGCUUAUGUGGAUGAUAUAGUGGUUAAAUCCAGAGAGAAGGAAACUCCGGUUGAUGAUCCGAAAGAGACCUUUGAUAACCUCCGGGUCUACAAGAUGAUUCUUAACCCAGCCAAAUGCAUUUUUGGAGUCCCAGCUAGCAUGCUUUUGGGCUUUUUGGUGUCUAACAGAUGCAUUGAGGCUAACCCAGAAAAAAUUAAGGCGAUUACAUCUUUGGCUAAACUGGCGUGCAUCAAUGACGUUCAGCGGCUGGCGAGUCGAGUUGCAUCUUUGAGCCGGUUCAUAAGCCGACUAGGUGAGAUGGCUAUGCUGUUGUAUCAAAUGAUGAAAAAUACGGAUGACUUUGUCUGGAGUGACGCUGCUAAAUCUGCCUUUGAAGAUCUGAAAAGACAGCUUGCUGAGCCGCCAGUUCUUGCUGCCCCCGUUGAGAAGGAGCCGCUGUUGUUAUAUGUGGCUGCUAACUCACGGGUCGUCAGUGUGGCCAUUAUGGUGGAGCGCAAGGAGGCUGGCAAGGAACAUCUGGUUCAACGACCGGUUUACUAUGUUAGUGAGGUGCUCAUUGAAUCCAAGCAAAGAUAUCCACAUUUGCAGAAGCUUGUUUAUGGGGUGUCCAUGGCAAGCCGAAAGCUCAAGCAUUACUUUCAGGGUCAUCCUAUCACUGUGGUUAGCUCUGCUCCUUCGGGAGAUAUUAUUCAAAAUAGAGAAGCCACAGGACGAGUCGCCAAGUGGGCCAUUGAGCUUGGGUCUCAUAAUUUAAAGUAUGUGCCACAUACUGCCAUUAAGUCUCAAGCACUGGUGGACUUCAUUAAUGAUUGGACGGAGUUGCAGAUACCUGAAGAGAAGCCAGACAACACAUAUUGGACGAUUCAUUUCGAUGGGUCCAGAUAGUUGGAAGGCUCGGGGGCUGGAGUUGUUUUAACUUCUCCUCAAGGUGACAAGUUUUGUUAUGUGUUGCGAUUGAUGUUUCCUUGUACUAACAACGGAGCAGAGUAUGAGGCCUUACUCCAUGUUCUUCGAAUGGCUAAAGAGAUGAGCUUAAGCCGGGUACGGUGCCUUGGCGACUCAGAUUUGGUGGCUCAGCAGGUAUCAAGCAAGUGGGACUCCAAGGACCUUCUCAUGGCGGGUUAUCGCCGUGAGGUUGACGCUGUUGCUGGACACUUCAAGGGUUAUCAAGUGGAGCACAUUGACCGAAGAAGAAAUUAAGCGGUCGAUGCUUUAAGCCGGUUGGGAUCUCAGUGUAAGCCAGUGCCACCUAACACUUUUCUAGAUGUUCUGCAUAACCCUUCUGUCAAGUUGCCUACAGAGGAAGAUUUUGCAGUUCCAGACCCGGAGGCAUAGUUGGUGACGGCUCUUCAUGUCAUUCCAGAUUGGACAGUACCGUAUUUGGCUUAUAUGACCCAAGGCGAGUUGCCAGAGGAUGAGACCUUGGCUAGACAGAUAACCUGACGAUCUAACUCAAUGACGAUUUCCAAUGGUGAGUUGUAUCAUGGCAGCGUCACCGGGGCGUUUCAACGUUGUGUCUCUCCUGAAGAAGGCAAGAAAUUCUUCGUGGGAUCCAUGAAGGAGAUUGUGGCCAUCAUGCCAGUUCAAAGUCUCUUGUGGCCAAAGCUUUUCCUCAUGGUUUUUACUGGCUAACGGCUCACACUGAGGCAGAGGAUCUGGUCUGUAGGUGCGAUGGGUGUCAAAAAUUUGCACGACGAGCGUACGUGCCGGCUCAAGAACUGCGGAUGAUUCCAAUCACUUGGCCAUUUGCAGUCUGGGGGCUUGACAUGGUUGGACCUUUCAAAAGGUCUAAAGAUAAGAAGACGCACCUUUUAGUAGCAGUGGACAAGUUCACAAAAUGGGUUGAGGCAGAGCCGGUCAGUAAGUGUGAUGCGGCCACGGUGGUUCAAUUCAUAAAAAAGGUGAUAUUUCGUUUUGGCUUUCCACAUAGCAUUAUCACUGACAAUGGCACCAACCUGUCCCAAGGAGAUAUGGAAGAGUUUUGUCAACGGGAGCAUAUCCGGCUUGAUGUUUCAUAAGUAGCUCACCCCCAAUCCAAUGGUCAAGCUGAACGAGCCAAUCAGGAAAUCCUAAAAGGUUUAAAACCCCGGCUUAUGGUUCCUUUACAACGGACGUCAGGUUGUUGGGUGGAAGAAUUACCUUCUGUGAUAUGGAGCAUCAAUACUAAACGUAAGAGGUCUAUCGGUUAUACGCCUUUCUUCAUGGUUUACGAAGCAGAUGCAGUUUUGCCCUAUGACAUCCGUCAUGACACGCCCUGUGUAGCAGCUUACGUUGAAGCUGAUAACGAGCAAGCUCGACAUGAUGCGCUUGACUUGUAAGAUGAGGAGCGAGACUUGGCAGCAGCCUGAUCAGCAAUUUACCAGCAGGACCUACGUCAUGACCACAACCGCCGGAUUAAGUCCAGAACCUUUCAAGAAGGUGACCUUGUGCUCCGGCUCAUCCAGGAUCAAUCUGAUGCACACAAGCUAUCCCCACCUUGGGAAGGACCCUUUGUGGUCAGCAAGAUCUUAAACAAUGGAUCAUAUUACAUUAUCGAUGUUCGAGAUCACCAAGACUCAUGUAAGUCGGAGGAGGAGACCCGCCGGCCGUGGAAUAUUGCUCAUCUUGGCCUUGCUACACAUGAGCCACCGGCUCUCAUAAUUUACAUACUUUGACAUUUUUUAUAUUAUGAUAAGUAAUAAAGCAGGACCUCUAUCCUUUUUUGAUCAUAUAUCUUUGUUAUUCUAACUAGUACAAAUGCCUGUGCAUUGCACCGGGCAAGAAAGCAUAUAGAGUUCUCUUUGUUAAUAAAUCAGGCCAUAUUCGCAUGCAUUGAAACAUUUUAUAAUCCAGACUAUGCCAGUUCAAAAUUGACACCAUGGGUGCCCAAAACUGUAGAGUAGAAAACCAGCAUGAUAUGCACGUCUACCAUCAUGUACAUCUGAAUAUAGCUCGUACUGUGAUGCUUUGCUAAUAGGAUGAAAAAAAUAGUGUAGCUCACUGUUACAUAUCACUAACCAUAAAUGACAUAGAGCAAGAAUCUUGUUCAUAUUAACAGUGAUCAUAAAAUUGAAUUUAUAUGUACUAAUUUGUGGUCACUAUAAGAGAUGACUACACACCAGAAGAAAACAAAAAAGUAUAUGUAACUAAACCAUAUCAGAUUGACUACUAUUUGUAUGGUUCGUCCAUCCAAUGUAUGCCUGAUGUGUAACAAAAAAAAUUUGAAUAUAGUAUAUGCUCCAGUUUUCACCACUGGAAGACCAUAUAGGGAUCACAUUCAUAUGGUUUGAGGUGCAAGAUUCUAGAUAUUGAAUGCAAGCAUCAUGCCAAAUAUCAACCAAAGAAUCAUGUGUUCCAAUGCAACAGUACUACUAUAGUUUAUCCUAUUGGUUCUAGUAGUUUAUCGUAUAUAGUUCUCACAAAACUAACUGGAUAACUAUGCACAUCAUUUUCGAUACUGUUGGCAUGCAGGCAAAAAGAAUCAAAUAUUCAGUUCUAGGUGCAAAAAGAAUCAAAUAUUCAGUUCUAGGUGCAGAUAAGUGUGAUGUAUUUUAGCCACCAUGACAAAGCAAAGAGUUAUUUGUUAAAAUUGACUUACAUAUCAAUAUGUUGAGUGAGUGCUGCACCAAAGAGCACAUACAAUUAGUACAAUACUGGAAGCUUUGGCUAAAAAGAAGGUUAACCUCUACUAUCGGUCAGCUCUGCUGCACCAGAGAAUUACAAACAUGGACAUGAUGAAAUAAGGAACCAUAUAGGCGUAUUACAAGCAUGAGUGUGAAGCAAACAUAUCUUAGUUGUGGGCUCUAACCACUGAAAGGAACAUGAUAAGAGUAUUUGAAAGGGAUUAAAUACUUGAAGCAUCUAUUUUUUGAACCUUGACAUUUUAAUUCUCAG
This 38671-nucleotide long non-coding RNA is filed under the name Triticum aestivum (bread wheat). RNAcentral's name for it is "long non-coding RNA (TAES_LNC001377)". The record is from RNAcentral. Lineage: Eukaryota; Viridiplantae; Streptophyta; Magnoliopsida; Poales; Poaceae.